Molecule: long non-coding RNA, 2281 nt
Filed under: Strongylocentrotus purpuratus (purple sea urchin)
Lineage: Eukaryota; Metazoa; Echinodermata; Echinoidea; Camarodonta; Strongylocentrotidae
Description: uncharacterized LOC105444370
Source: RNAcentral
UAGACUGUAGGGCAAGUCACUGUAUUGUGUUGUUUCGUAGUCCCAUCAGUGGCAGUCGACCAAACCAGUAUGAAAAUAUAAAGAAAAUUAUUACAAACAUAUUUACCGUUUGUUCUCCUCAUUUUCUUUACGGUUUUUCGUGAAAACUAAUUAAAGAUAAUAAUUAUGUUGCCUCCUAAUAAUCGUGGGUAAUAUCCCGGGAAAUCGGAGGUGUGUCCAAUUCAACCAAUCACGAGGCGGGAUUUUCCCUACGUCAUUGUCCUCGUUCGCUACAUAAAAACAUCUAACAACCAUAAUUAUGACACCGAUGAAGUUUCGUCACCGAUACAGAGAUAAAGAGGUGUUUUAUUCACUUCCCGACUGUGAAUGAUGUCGUUUUGAAAGAAUUUACAGACACAAAAUGGUCCAAAGCUUUUGCUUCUGCUGAUAUUUUGAAAAAUAUGGACGGAGAAAAGAGCAAAAUUGCGACGGAUUUCCUUGCCAAUGUCGCCCGUAUACGUGCCUUCACGGUUGUUGUAUACGGCGACAGUACCAGUGGUGCAUUGCAAAUGACAAUGUUGUAAUUUGCGCUGCACUGGUACUGUCGCUGUAUGUAUACGGUUCAAUACCGGCGACAUUGGCAAGGAAAUCCGUCUCAAUUUUGCACUUUUCUCCGUAAAAUACCUCGAGAUUCUAACAAGACUGAAUUUGAAGAUCCAUCUGAUAUCCCUUCACAACCUAAGAAGCUGUGUAGGAGUCUACAAUCUCGGCGCUCAUCUGCCAGCUUUGAUUUGUUGGACCUAUUUGAGACCAUCAGCAUAAAAUGUACGCGUUCAUAUUGAGCACUAGAUGUAUGCAAUAUUUUUUGCUGUUUAUCAGCAGAUUUUUCAACAUUAACUGGUUCUAUUGAUAACAACAAAUAUAUAUGAUAAAAUUAAAAUGAACAAAGGCAAGAUCAUUGUGAAACCUUUUCUCUGAUAUUUCUUAUUCAAUUUGGGGAUUAAAAAAAAAUGAUUUUUAUAUCCCUAUGGUUCCUUUGUUAAUUAUGUACAAAAUAACCAACCUUUCAUGAAUAGACAUAUACAAAUGUAUGGGUCGACUGGGGUGUUUUACAUAUACAUUAUGUGCAACUGUAAUAUAAGAAUAUACUAAAUAUAUGUAAAGAUAUAAUUUCAGAGCUGGAAAAAUGUUUACUAAGUAAUCACUUACAGUAAUGUACUAUUGUACUUGCAUUGCAUGCUCAUUUGUUUCAUAAUAAUAAUAAUAAUAUGGACAUUUAUUAUUUAUUAUGCAUACAUGUAUUUUGCCAUGUUGAAGCAUUGCCAAGAUUUAUAGUCAAAUAUAAAACUUUAUUACGUUCAAAUGUAUGGGUCGUUUCAAACUUUCCAUCACACUCUUUGGACACUUGUUCUAAUCGAAAUAUGUAAAAUUUAUGAAUUCCUCAACAGUAACAGCUUUUUGGCAAUUUUUCUAUCAACAUAUUUUAGGACAUUUUCUUUGAACCAAAAAAAAAAAAGACAACAAAUGACUAGACACAUCUUAUCAAUGUUUCAUAAUUUAUUUCAAUUCCAUCAAUAUUUAUGUAAAAACUGUUAACAAUCUUUGCAGUUCAAGUUAAAUUGCAUUUGUAAAUUACAACAUACAUGUACCAUAGUUCUGAUUUCACUGGCAGUGGCAAGUACCGGUUUUAGAAAAAGUACCCGGUAAUCUACUUGUAGAUAAAUGUCAUUGACAAAAUGGUAGUACGGUAAUACAUUUUACGUAAUGAAUGAAAUCAAAUUAAACAGAGAAGAAUAUAAUUUAUUUGGCAGUUUUGGUAUGAAUUUGUUGUUAGGUUUCUCUUUGAAAUUUGUAUUGUUCUAAACUGAUGCUAUGCAGACCAUGAGCAGUGUUGCUAGUACUACCUAGUAUUAGUAUUAACAAAGUUUUGAACAGCAAUAUAUUUUUCGGGGAAGUGGAAAAUAAACUAAAAGCAACAAUAUUGAUGAUUUGAUUGGAAGGAGUUUGCACAGUUGAUGAAACUCAAUAAGACAUGUUGAAUAUAAUAAGGUAAAUUAUGAUGAAAGAGAAUGGAAGAGUAAGGAGAAAACAACAGGGGAAGAAAAAGAGAUUUUUAAGAGGAGACAUGAGAACAAAAAACGUGUGUGAUGAGAGAGAGAGAGAGAGAUAGAGAGAGAAAUAGGGAAAAAAGGAAGAGUUAAAUGAGUGACAUGAAUAUACAAACAGAUGGUAACUUAAACAAGAUGCAAGAAAUUACAUAACUUGGGCUUAACAAAACUCGUCUUGAUGACGUGCUGAAAUA